CCAGCAACAACUAGUGUGUCGCCAUUAGGGCGAUAUAUUUUGACUUUUAUUUUGACACAUUGAGAAAGAAUACAAACUUUUACUUUGAUACAAUUUCCUGUAACUUCCUUACCACUUCCUGCCUUGUCAUCAGUUACUUCCCACUCAGUUCCUAUCUGUUGAAAACAGUUAAUACUUAAGAAUUCCUGACCGUGAAAGAUGCUAGAAGCAAAGUCUUUUCACUCUGCCAUGUAAUGCUGGAAUCUUCAGUAAACAACAGUGAAAUGUUAACUACGACACAGACUCCUGGUUAUUGCAUCAGAGUUUAACUUGUUGGAUAGCUUCAGUUGUUACACUGCAGUGAAGACAACACAGUGAAAAGACUGAGAAGUUAGCAUUGAAUAACGAGUCAAGAUGGAAACUACAUCUAAUAAAUCAGGAAAAAGUGGAAGCAGCUUUCAUUCAUCUGCCUCAUCAACCAAUGCUUUACUUCGUGCACGAGCAAAAGCAGCAGCUACUAAAGUGCGUGCCGAAUAUGCUGAGCAAGAAGCCAAAGCUAGGAUAGAAAAA
Molecule: long non-coding RNA, 549 nt
Organism: Eleginops maclovinus (Patagonian blennie)
Lineage: Eukaryota; Metazoa; Chordata; Actinopteri; Perciformes; Eleginopidae
Exons: 2
Source: RefSeq, a predicted model, not a curated record